GACGGGGGAUGCAAGCGUUAUCCGGAAUCACUGGGCGUAAAGCGUCUGUAGGUGGUGAUGCAAGUCACUGGUGCAAAACUCUGGCUCAACCGGAGGAAAGCCAGUGAAACUGCAUGACUAGAGUGUGGGAAAGGUAGAAGGAAUUCCCUGAGUAGCGGUGAAAUGCGUAGAUACAGGGAAGAACACCGGAGGCGAAAGCGUUCUACUGGAACACAACUGACCAUGAGAGACGAAAGCUAGGGGAGCGAAUGGG
RNAcentral lists this ribosomal RNA (253 nucleotides) under uncultured bacterium. RNAcentral's name for it is "partial 16S ribosomal RNA". It matches the Rfam family "Bacterial small subunit ribosomal RNA", at positions 524 to 776 of the family's 1533-position model. The record is from RNAcentral.